Molecule: ribosomal RNA, 411 nt
Filed under: uncultured bacterium
Lineage: Bacteria
Description: bacterial SSU rRNA
Rfam family: Bacterial small subunit ribosomal RNA
Source: RNAcentral
UAUUGGUCAAUGGGCUUACGCCUGAACCAGCCAAGUCGCGUGAGGGAAGACUGCCCUAUGGGUUGUAAACCUCUUUUGUCAGGGAGCAAUUGGCGCUACGUGUAGCGUUAUCGAGAGUACCUGAAGAAAAAGCAUCGGCUAACUCCGUGCCAGCAGCCGCGGUAAUACGGAGGAUGCGAGCGUUAUCCGGAUUUAUUGGGUUUAAAGGGUGCGUAGGCGGAAUGCCAAGUCAGCGGUAAAAUCGCGGGGCUCAACCUCGCUCCGCCGUUGAAACUGGCGUUCUUGAGUGGGCGAGAAGUAUGCGGAAUGCGUGGUGUAGCGGUGAAAUGCAUAGAUAUCACGCAGAACCCCGAUUGCGAAGGCAGCCUGCCAAGCCAUGACUGACGCUGAUGCACGAAAGCGUGGGGAUCG